Flavobacterium plurextorum is the source of this 33-nucleotide non-coding RNA. The record is from Rfam. Lineage: Bacteria; Pseudomonadati; Bacteroidota; Flavobacteriia; Flavobacteriales; Flavobacteriaceae.
UAAAGGUAAGCUGAAAACUUUAUAGAGUAGGCA